AUGAAUGCAAACUUUCAACUAUUUCUAAUUCUUCUCUGUCAUUUAAGAGGCUUUCAAGGUGCACUGUACAUCCCAGAUCAGGGUGAAUUUGGUUUCAUCCCUGAUGCAUCUGCCCGGGCAGACAAAUUGGCUCUCUCUGAUGACUCUUUUACGCCAAGAGGAAAUCUGAUCUGCUACAGCACGGAAACUUCAGCGGUGACCAUGGCUAGACAAAUUCCUUAGGGAGCUGCCUGUUUUGAAGCCAAGAGUUCAUGAUAUGAUCCAGCUGGCUUACAGAGAU
RNAcentral lists this long non-coding RNA (280 nucleotides) under Anas platyrhynchos (mallard). RNAcentral's name for it is "lncRNA (ENSAPLG00020000541.1)". Lineage: Eukaryota; Metazoa; Chordata; Aves; Anseriformes; Anatidae. The record is from RNAcentral.